Molecule: ribosomal RNA, 512 nt
Filed under: Nostoc sp. AIB2
Lineage: Bacteria; Bacillati; Cyanobacteriota; Cyanophyceae; Nostocales; Nostocaceae
Description: bacterial SSU rRNA
Rfam family: Bacterial small subunit ribosomal RNA
Source: RNAcentral
GCCUAAAGAUGAGCUCGCGUCUGAUUAGCUAGUAGGUGGGGUAAAAGCCUACCUAGGCGACGAUCAGUAGCUGGUCUGAGAGGAUGAUCAGCCACACUGGGACUGAGACACGGCCCAGACUCCUACGGGAGGCAGCAGUGGGGAAUUUUCCGCAAUGGGAGUAAGCCUGACGGAGCAAUACCGCGUGAGGGAGGAAGGCUCUUGGGUUGUAAACCUCUUUUCUCAGGGAAGAAUGCAAUGACGGUACCUGAGGAAUAAGCAUCGGCUAACUCCGUGCCAGCAGCCGCGGUAAUACGGAGGAUGCAAGCGUUAUCCGGAAUGAUUGGGCGUAAAGCGUCCGCAGGUGGCUGUGUAAGUCUGCUGUUAAAGAGCAAAGCUCAACUUUGUAAGAGCAGUGGAAACUACACGGCUAGAGUGCGUUCGGGGCAGAGGGAAUUCCUGGUGUAGCGGUGAAAUGCGGAGAGAUCAGGAAGAAGGCCGGUGGCGAAGGCGCUCUGCUAGGCCGCAACUGA